This 4924-nucleotide long non-coding RNA is filed under the name Ricinus communis (castor bean). RNAcentral's name for it is "long non-coding RNA (RCOM_LNC001977)". The record is from RNAcentral. Lineage: Eukaryota; Viridiplantae; Streptophyta; Magnoliopsida; Malpighiales; Euphorbiaceae.
UGCAAAAUUAGGCAACAGGCCCACGAUAUCUUUACCAAACGAGCUAUGACAGAGAAAAGUCAUGAUUGUAUUUUUUAUUUCUGAGUCAAGAACAACUCCCUUAUCCGCCAUCAGUUGAAGAAGGUUUAUAGUCUCUUCUGCUUUACCCAUUGAGCUAAAACCUUUAAGUAAUGAAUCAUAUACAUGGAUGCUUGGUAUAAAGCCAGAGCCAAUCAUUCUAUUAAAAGCUUCUUUAGCCUCAUCCAACAGUCCAAGUUUUGAGAACCAAUUUAUUAAAAUGAAGUAGGUAAAAGCAUUAGGAUUCACACCCAUUUGAAGCAUGUCCUUUAGCAAUUCUUUGGCUGAUUGAAUAUCCCCAGCUUUCAGAGUCCCAUAAAUCAUUAUAUUGAAAGAGAAGACAUCCAAUUCACAAUUUGAGUUCCUCAAUUCUUGAAACAACUUCCUCGCUUGCUCCAAGCUGCUCUCCUUGCACAAGGAAGCCAUCAACAUAUUAUAGUCACACAAAGCAGGGCUCAGCCCAAGGGCUCUCAUUCUAGUAAAAAGUCCUUUUGCAACAUUAAGCAUGCCCAUUCUACAAAAUCCACGAAUCAUGGCACCAUAGGUGAUUGAAUCUGGAACAAAUCCUAAUUCAUUUACACGUUUCCAUAUUCUCAUAGACUCAUUAAUCAAUCCUGCCUUUAGAUAUUCUCCAAUCAAAACAUUGCAAGUUACCAAAUUAACAGAGUACCCCCUAUCAAUCAUCAUAUCAUAAAUCUCAGUUGCCUCAUCAACCCGAGCUUCCUUGCAAAGCCCCUGAAUUAGAUAAUUAAAAGUCCUGACAUUUGGCUCAAUAUAAUUUCCAUCCCUCAACACAGUAUGAAAGAGUUUCAUCGCCUCAUCAACUCCACUGUUAUUGCAAAGUCCCAUCAGUAAGGUAUUGUAAGAAACCACAUCAGGUUUCAUUCCCUUGUCCAACAUCAUUUGCAUAAUUUUUAAAGCUUCAUUAACCAGGCCUUCCUUGAAUAGUCCACGCAUUAAAACAGUAUAUGUCACAGUAUUAGGCUCUUCACCCUUUUCUAACAUCAGUUUAAACAGGUCUAUAGCCUUAGUAGUCUUACCAUCUUUCCAGAGUCCAAAAAUCAAGCACGUAUAGAUAUAAGCAUUAGGGCGAAUCCCACUUUCCAACAUAGCAUUAAACGUAGCAGUGGCUUCUUUCCAUUGCCCCAACUUACAGUAACCAUUAAUAAGUGUACCAUAAACAACAACAUUCCCCUCCGAUCCCUUUCUUUUCAUCUUCUCCCACAACCCAAUUGCCACGUCUACCCUACCAGCCUUACAAAGACCAUCCAUCAAAAUAGAGUACGUAAAAGCAUCCGGUUCACAAUUCAUCUCCUCCAUCUCAGUUAACAACUUCAUAGCAUCUUCAAAUUGUUUCGCCUUGCAAAGUCCUUUUAUAAUUAUAGUAAAAGUAACAACAUCUGGCAUAACAUGAGUCAUUUUCAAUUCAUUAAGCAAAUUCAUAGCCUCAUAAACCUCACCAUUACUACACAGACCCUUUAACAUUGAAUUCAUAACAUACACAUUGACCACAAAACCACGCUUUAAAAUCAAACCCAACACCCCAAAAGCAAAUUUGAGCAUAUGGGUAUGCACAAAACAAUCGACUAAAUGACUUAAAGAAAAAAAAUUAGACAUAAUACCAACAUGGGUCAUCUUACUAUAAACAGAAAGCGUCAAUUGGUAAUUCUUAGACCUUACCAAACUAUGCAGAAGAGAAUUGCAGAUUGACUCUGAAGGAUAGAGAUAUGAAUCGAUAGCUUGGUGAAACAAAGAAACUGCUCUAGUGGAUUGAAAAUUGGGUUCUUGACAAAGUAAUCUCAAUUGGGUUUCUACAUCAGAAAGUGAAGAGAUUGAAGGGAGAGAAGAGAAACAUUUGACGUAAAAUGGAACACAAAUAAUAGUAUGUAAAAUGGGACGUGAGCGUUUAAUCAGUUCGAAAUUCAUAUUUAAAUAAUCAAAGGAACCACAAAGAAGAGAAGAAAUUGAGACAGAAAUAAGGUAAAGGGUUUAGAGCUUAGCAGUGGAGCUCGCCAAAGCCUUAUUUCUUUCUCGGUCCGGUUUAACGAUCAAGUGCUCUUCACUCAUUUUGGUCCGGUUAAUUUUAGAAGCACUUGUAUAUACCAGCAUUUUGAAUUUCUAUAUAAUUUAGUUCUAAAUUACAAAAGUAAAUUAAAUAUUAUUAAAAUUAAAAUAUACUAAAAUAAAAAAAAAUUAUUUUUAUUUUCUAAAUAAUUUUCAUAAGAUUUAAGAAUUAAAUUAUAAUUUCUUAUUAAUUGCAUUGAUUUAUAUAAAAAUAAUAGUAGGUAGAAUUAUGAAAGUUGGAAUUUUAGUAUAAUAAAAUAUAAGAGACAAAUUAUAAUUUAAAUUAAAAAUAAUGAAAUAAAUAGUCAUUUAGAUCUGUUCUAUUUAAAUAGUUAUUUAACAAAAUUUUUAAUAAAAAGACAUUUAAUAUAAACUUAUAAAAUAAUAAUUUAGAUGAAAAGUUCUUAUUUCCAUAAUUAAGUAUUAGACUCCUAGCUUCAAUUUUUUUAAUUUGCAACAAUGUAUAGCAACAUUGCUUUCAAUCUUAGUUUCUGUUGUUCUGGUAUGUAGUUUUUGAGUUUGGUUGACUUUUUUGUUGACAUUUAAGACCAAAUUAAUCAAUAUUAUUCAACUGUUUUAACUAGUUAAUUUUGCAAUUGAAGCAAAAUUGAUAAAUUGCCGUAGGACAAUUACAGCAACAGAAAGCGAAUUACAACCACUGAACUGGAGAGUAUUUAUAAUCAAGAAAUGUUCAUCAGCUUACAUUAUCUUCAAAUGGCUACUGAACAAGGUAUCUAACUGGUCCAAGUUUGAGAGGGUCCAUUUUAAAUAUAGUAAGACUAGGACGAGCUUGCUCUUCCAUAUUGAUAUCUUGAACUCCAUUUGGUAGUUUCCAAUCAAAACAGUAUAACAAAUUUAUAAGUGCCAGUUCUAUUAAUACAGUUCCCAUAUGUAGUGCAGGACAACCUCUUCUACCAGCUCCAAAAGGCAAGAGCUCAAAUGUUGCCCUUUGAAGUCGAUGAAGCUAUCAAUAAACCUUUCAGGAAAGAAAUCUUCAGGGUCCUUCCAGUAGUUAGGAUCUCUUCCAAUUGCCCAAACGUUGACAUGGAUCAGUGAUUUGGGAUAAAUGUCACAACCGUUGAUCUUAAAAUUGGAAAUCACUUCUCUUGGAAGUAGCAAUGGAGCAGGGGGAUGCAAUCUCAGAGUUUCUUUUAUUACCAUCUUGAGGUAAUGGAGAUCAUCAGUCACUUUCUGCCACUCUUUCUCUAUUGCCCACUACAUUUCUAACUUCUUCUUGUGCAUUCUUCACUAUUUCAGGAUUCCUAGCAAGUUCAGCCAUAGCCCAUAUCAGGGUAACUUCAUUAUUUCAGAAUUUUGUUUAAUAAAAUUAAUUUUGUUUUUGCCAUUUGGAAUCGUGAUUCAACUCUUCCUUGGACGUGAUAUCAAAGGAUCCUUUUCUUGAGUGUGAUAAUCAAUAGCUUCUAGGUGUGAUUCUUAGAAGUCCUCCAUCUUUUUUUUUUCUUUUUUUGGGUUUUCCCCUGUAUCAGAUCUGAUACCCUGAAACUAAAUUAAUAUUUCAGCCUCUGGAAAAACUAUUUUACGUAUAAUCUAAUGUAGAACAGCAAGGCCUAAAGAUGUCUUACAUCAUAGAUCAAACAAAAUAAAUCAAAUCAAAAAGCUGAUACAUCAGGAAUAAAUGCAAAUAGAUUUGCAGGCAACAAGCUAACGCAGAAAGACUUGCAUGGAUGAGGCAACAAAACUGAGGCCCAUCAUUUAGCAAACCAAUCUGCAAGACAAAAAAAACAUGGGAAUCUGCAGAGCAGAAGGCCACUUAAAUCCACAUAGGCAAAUGGUAACAAAUAUAUAAUAAUAAUAUGCUCUAUUUCCAGGAGAAGGCCUAAAGGAUGCUUGGAGGUUAGUGUAUAGGAUAAAAGAAGUGGAUAGAUAGGUAUAAGAAGCAGAAAAAAAGAGACCAUUCCUGAUUAUGGAAUACAGGCACAUAAGCCAUUGACUAGAGAGAUAAAAACUUAUAAAGAAGCCUUCAUGACUACGUAACCCCUCUUCGGAUAGUAAUUAUUAAGAGGAAAAAUUUCAUUCAAGGACCACUAAAGCUGCAGAUAAAUGUCAAUGUAUCACCUAUUCCUUCAAAACUCAACAACUGUAAUUAAAAAGUCAACUUUACUACCCUAACACCUGUUUCCUACUUGAGAAGAGAAGGAGACCGGGAAAAAGGAGUAAAUUAUCUUAAUCACCAUAAAAAGGACUAACAACAAACAAAAAUAUUGCUCUCCCGAUUCUCCCUCAAAUAAUACAAAAAAGAAACUUUGUGUUCACGGACACACUCACGGUAUCACUAUGUAAUUGUCUUCUAAUCUGAGUAUUGUAUGUCUUGGGCCUAAAUUAGCAUGCACAAUGUAUGCUAAGGUAAUGUCCACCUGCACAUGGGCACCAAAUUAUUUUACCUUCAAGUGAGUGACAGAGGCACCCAGCUUCAGUAGUUGAAGAAGGUUAGACUUCUGAUGUACUUCAAGCAGCAUUUACUUCAAGUUCUGGGCUAGACUCUUGUAUUUUCAUCAACUUAUUGCAUGAGAUGCUCGACUUUUCUGACACUUCUGAUGCAAAAUUAGGCAACAGGCCCACGAUAUCUUUACCCAACGAGCUAUGACAGAGAGAAGUCAUGAUUGUAUUUUUUAUUUUGGAGUCAAGAACAACUCCCUUAUCCGCCAUCAGUUGAAGAAGGUUUAUAGUCUCUUCUGCUUUACCCAUUGAGCUAAAACCUUUAAGUAAUGAAUCAUAUACAUGGAUGCUUGGUAUAAAGCCAGAGCCAAUCAUUCUAUUAAAAGCUUCUUUAGCCUCAUCCAAC